This 275-nucleotide unclassified non-coding RNA is filed under the name Hevea brasiliensis (rubber tree). The record is from RNAcentral. Lineage: Eukaryota; Viridiplantae; Streptophyta; Magnoliopsida; Malpighiales; Euphorbiaceae.
AAAAACAAGCUAAAAUAAUUUGGGAUUUACAAUACUCAUAAGCCUUGAUUUGAGGCUAUUGCAAAAAGAAUAAUUAAAGAAACACGGGUAGGGAGAUAGCCUCCACUCUCUUCUCUCCUUCCAUACAUGUAAUAAGCAAGUAGAUUUCGUUAUUUUAACACAGAUGCUACUCACUCAUCUCUUGCUUGUUGCUCUCUCAUGGUUGAUGGAGAGUAACACUAUUUCUUGGAUCUUCCCCAUUUUGGUUUUUCUUUCUAUAACCCAAAAUUGAUGAG